Molecule: ribosomal RNA, 399 nt
Filed under: Triticum aestivum (bread wheat)
Lineage: Eukaryota; Viridiplantae; Streptophyta; Magnoliopsida; Poales; Poaceae
Description: partial small subunit ribosomal RNA
Source: RNAcentral
AUGAAGAAGUAUGACAACUCGUGGGAGUCAGACCUCGAUGCUCUCCUCCCAUAUGGCUUUCUGCGUUAGACUAAGGGCACAUGUCUGGUCGUCACAUCAUGGGCGCCGCAGCGCAAAGUGCUAGAGCACGACAUGGUCGGCUAUUUCUUGAUGCACUGCAGGUGAAACACCGUGCUAGAGUCGGGCAUGGCCGGCAUGCCCAUGCUGCCCUAGCCGCUCUACCCAGGGCAAGGACUUAUCAGGGUUUGCCUGGAGAAACAGUCGGGUUUGGCCGUGGCGGUGGUAGGGUACGACAAGGAGGUGGUUGAAUCCCACGAGGUGGCUUCCAAGGUUAGGUGGAUGAUAGAGUCUAGCGGCGGGAUGGUGCUCCGGGAGCGGACGUUGGCGGCCAUGCAGUAG